UACGUAGGGUGCAAGCGUUAAUCGGAAUUACUGGGCGUAAAGCGUGCGUAGGCGGUUUGUUAAGUCCGCUGUGAAAGCCCUGGGCUCAACCUGGGAAUUGCAGUGGAUACUGGCAAGCUAGAGUGCGGUAGAGGAUGGUGGAAUUCCCGGUGUAGCGGUGAAAUGCGUAGAGAUUGGGAAGAACACCAGUGGCGAAGGCGGCUAUCUGGACGGUUUCUGACACUAAGACUCGAAAGCGUGGGGAGCAAACAGG
Molecule: ribosomal RNA, 253 nt
Filed under: uncultured bacterium
Lineage: Bacteria
Description: partial 16S ribosomal RNA
Rfam family: Bacterial small subunit ribosomal RNA
Source: RNAcentral